This 253-nucleotide ribosomal RNA is filed under the name uncultured bacterium. Its description in RNAcentral is "partial 16S ribosomal RNA". It matches the Rfam family "Bacterial small subunit ribosomal RNA", at positions 524 to 776 of the family's 1533-position model. The record is from RNAcentral.
UACGGAGGGUGCGAGUGUUGUCCGGAAUCACUGGGCGUAAAGGGCGCGUAGGUGGCGCGGGUAGUCGUCGGUGAAAGCUCAGGGCUCAACCCUGAGUCGGCCGGUGAUACUCCCGUGCUUGAGUGUGGUAGAGGCCAAUGGAAUUCCGGGUGUAGCGGUGGAAUGCGUAGAGAUCCGGAAGAACACCGGUGGCGAAGGCGGUUGGCUGGGCCACAACUGACACUGAUGAGCGAAAGCGUGGGGAGCGAACAGG